GACAGAGGGUGCAAGCGUUGUUCGGAAUUAUUGGGCGUAAAGGGCGCGUAGGCGGUUAUAUGUGUCAAAUGUGAAAUCCCUGGGCUUAACUCAGGAAGUGCAUUUGAAACUGUAUAGCUAGAGUACUGGAGAGGGUGGUGGAAUUCCCAGUGUAGAGGUGAAAUUCGUAGAUAUUGGGAGGAACAUCAGUGGCGAAGGCGACCACCUGGACGGUAACUGACGCUGAGGCGCGAAAGCGUGGGUAGCAAACAGG
This 253-nucleotide ribosomal RNA is filed under the name uncultured bacterium. RNAcentral describes it as "partial 16S ribosomal RNA". It matches the Rfam family "Bacterial small subunit ribosomal RNA", at positions 524 to 776 of the family's 1533-position model. The record is from RNAcentral.